GGCAAGCAAUGUCCAGAAACUGGGGGCAAAACUGGCAGAGCAACUCGUAUCUGAAUGGGCAAGCCCUCUCCUUCAAGGUCACAACCAGUGAUGGCCGCACUGUGGUGUCCUACAAUGCUGCCCCAGCUCGUUGGUCCUUUGGCCAGACCUUCACUGGUGCCCAGUUCCGCUAAGGGACACCUACCCUUGGCCAGACCUUCUGCUGUCUCUAUAUUUAGCGUCUUCCUAGGAUUUUUACAUAUAUAUUUUCUCUACCAUAUAUUAUAUAUGAAGGUUAGUGUGACUCUUAGUAUACUAGGAUAUUAGUUGGUAUACUAUAACUAAUGGGGUCUGUUGAGUCAUUGGCCUC
Molecule: long non-coding RNA, 349 nt
Filed under: Fragaria vesca (wild strawberry)
Lineage: Eukaryota; Viridiplantae; Streptophyta; Magnoliopsida; Rosales; Rosaceae
Description: long non-coding RNA (FVES_LNC002033)
Source: RNAcentral